Molecule: long non-coding RNA, 11781 nt
Filed under: Equus caballus (horse)
Lineage: Eukaryota; Metazoa; Chordata; Mammalia; Perissodactyla; Equidae
Description: lncRNA (ENSECAG00000049791.1)
Source: RNAcentral
UUACCAAGGCUUUGACUGGAAUGUCAUAGUUGAGAGAGAGAUGCAUAGAUUCAGACAUGACCAGACAGCUGUAAGGAACUGCCUGAAACUUGGCUCGGCUUCCUGGCCUCAGAGGCUUUGAAAGAGUCAAAUCUGAGAUUCCUUAUAAAAAGUUCCAGCAAAGCAGUCUUAAAAGAGCUUAUGUGGUCAAUCACCAUUCUUGCUACACUCAUGUAAAUAAUCAGGCCAAGUUUAAUACAAACAAAUUAGUUUUACUCUGAUUAUCUUUGGUAAAAAAUGGGGUAAUUGUAGAGAGAAAAAUUAUGUUUGCACCUUUGUAGAUAUUUAGAUUCUAACCCUGUUAAUUGUCUUUGAGGUUUUGUUAUAUACCUGUAAACUGAACUGGAUCCUAAAUUCUUCUAAUUUUCUCAAAUAUCUGGCUACCACUCUCCAACCGAAUGUUUCCUAUUGCCUCCCAUCCUUCUGAUUUGGAAUCACUGAGACCAAAGACUGUCCUUGAAUCUCCUUGGAAAGGAAUAUACUAGGUCUUCCUCCCGACCCAGAUGGCAGCCAAACCUCCAGGACUUAAACCUUGGCUACACAUCUCACAGUGGAAGAAAGCUCCUCCUGACCUCUGGUCCUUUACAAACACUGAAGACCUCUGAAUCAAACUGAUGAGCAGGAGAAGCAGCUGACAUUGACGUAGACUGCUUCCACCCAAGACACCAGAUCAAGAUUUCCCAUUUUAACUAAACAUGAAACACUGUCUUCCUCUCUUCUUUCCUUUACUCUGGCAUUGGCCUGGCAAGAUAAUGCCACCAUCAUAUCUCCCAAGCCAUUACUAAGGGAGAGCAACCUUUCAGACAGCUGGAUUCAUCAUCAAAAACUCCAAUCUGUUCAUGAUGCUGGAACCCAUGAACAAUGCCACCUGAGCAGUAAUGGUUUACGCCCCAACAGGAUUUAAUUUCAUCGGUGGUGGUGAUCAUUCUCCUUGGACCUAUAAAUGCUUAGAUGGCUAACACAUAACUGGGCAAUGCCCCUUAGGUUAUCUAACUGUGCCACUCAACUGUUCUCAAAUAGGCUAAGACACUUCAUUGGUCAACUCCCCUAAUCAUCCAAUUCGAAAAGACCUGCCAGGAGGCCUUCAUGAUUCAGGAUGUGCUUCUUUCGGCAGGUCCCUACUUCCUUUGUUAGGAGUGAGUACAAAUGAGGCUGUGAUCAGAAAUCCCUCCUUAACUCUUGAAAGUAUUGCAGAAUUCGCUGCUAAAGCAAUAGCUGCCCAAUGAAAAUCUCUAGACUCUCAGCUCAAAGUAGUUCUUGAUAAUAUGACAGCCCUUGAUCAUUUGUUAGCUGAGCAAGGAUGUGUCUGUGCUGUGGCCACCACCGCUGCACCUGGAUUAACACUUCUGGGGAAGCUGAAAUUUAGUUACAUAAAAUCACUGAGUGCGCCACUUGGCUUAAAAAGGUGACUCCUUCAACAGAGUAUUUCUUUCACUUAUUGGAUUUUGAUUGGUUUGGGUCUUGGGGACCAUGGCUCUGAAGUGCACUCCAGACAUGGGAAUUAUCCUACCAGUAACAGUCAUAGUAAUCUCCCUGAUGCACUGUAUUCUCUCAAAAGCUUUAAAUGCGUGUUUGCAGCUGCUAACCAUCAAGCAAAUGAAUGUGAAGUCGUGACCUGUGAAUACCACAGGAUUCAGCAGAAAACCUCAUGACCUGUGACUAUAACACGGAGAAACAGUAAAAGCUGCGAGACCAACAGAGCGGUAGCUGAGAGUGGCACUAAUGCCUUAAAUUUUGAUCACAUCUUUCAAGUUAUGCUAAGAGUCUCAUGCAAAGGGGGAGAACUGUUAAAAAAGAAAAAACAGGAACAAAAUGGUGUCACUUGUGCUAAGUCCCACAUCAAUAAAUCAAGACUUAAUUGCACUUUCAGUCUCUCACAGGAAUGUGACCUUUAACUAGUCAAUCUGGAAUUACCUGGUCGGCAUGAGUGAGUAAUCUGCCUCAUAGAUCCCCACACUACUCUUCCCCAAAGGAAGGUGAUCUUGCCCGAAUCUGCUCUUUGCUAGAAACUUCCUUUAUUCCGUCCCUUCUGCCCAUAACAGCCUUCCACUUUGCAUAGCUCCUUGGACCUCCCUUCUAUUUGCUAGCUGGGAUGCUGCUCAAUUCAUGAAUUGUUGGAUAGAGCCAAUUCGAUCUUCAAAUUUACUCAGUUGGCUUUUGCUUUAAACACCUUAGCAUCAUCAUCCUCUGAAAAUAAUGCUAAUUUUGUCUUUUUUCUAUUACUAUAUUUCUUUCUUUCUCUUAUCUGGGGGACAAAGAGAUUAAUUAGAACACUAAGGUUCCUUAGAGGAUGUAAGACUUCGGUGAAUCUUGCAGGAAUAGCAGCAAUUGGACUGGCUAAGAGGGGAGGAUGACAGAAAUAUAGCCACGCAUUGCUCAAUGAUGGGGAUACAUUCUGAGAAAUGUGUUAGGCAGUUUCAUCAUUGAGCGUACUUACACAAUUCAUCAUAGAGUGUACUCACACAAACCUAGAUGGUAUAGACUACUACACACCUAGGCUAUAUGGUACUAAUCUUACGGGACCACCCUCCUAUAUGCCCUCCGUCCUUGACCCAAACGCUGUUAUGCUGUGCAUGUCUCUAGAUAAAAUUGAGCUGUCCUACUCCCAACUAACGGAAGUCAGUUGAUAGAACCGCUGGUGGCACCUGGAACUCUACAUAUUACAUCACAGAAAAACUCAGACUAGUAGUGUCUUGGAACAUGUUUUGUUCAUAGUAAGUGUGAAAAUAAAGGAAAACCUCUUUUAAAAUGGAGUCAUGAAACCCUGAAGGGGGACCUCUCACGUACAUACCACUCACUGCUGCCUGCCUAACUGGCAGGAAGAUGGACGAUAAGAAUUAUUUUAACCAGGCCUAUUUGUAUAAAAUUCUCUCAGUCCCAACUUCUUAUCCGUGAUGAUAAGAAUGUAACUUUUCUGCUGGUGCAACGGAGGACAUCUUCACCUAGGAAUUUCAUCUCCUGCUUUUAAGAAAAGGAAGGAAGAUCCGUCCCUGCCGCAGCGACAACGCAUUGUCACAACCUUACACUCUUGUUCUUCUCCAAUGAACUUUUAUUCUAAAUAACCCUCCUUAAUUUCCUCCUAACACCUAAUAAAAACUAACUUUCCCCUUGUCUCUUCCAACUUGCCUAUGGUUCACCAUAGUUUGCACGUCCAGAAUUGCAAUUCCUCGGCUAUUCCCAAAUAAACUCAUUUUUUGAGCUUGCCCCCCAGACAGCUUCAUUUAGGUUGACAUAACAGCUAAAGAUAGUUUUAGUCUCUAUUAACAUCACAACCAAAUACUUAAAUCACAACCAAGUACUUAAAAGCCUGACAUAAUUGUAGACUCAUAAGUGAAAUGUCACAUUAUCAUUUUCAAUAAAUCAGCAUCAAUUUAACAUUUCGGAGAGCCCCCCAAAUUCUCAGCACUCAAAUCCAAGACAAGAAAGAUAAAAAACAGUACGACUGCAUUCUGGUUAUCCUAUGAAUUAAAGUGGAGUGAGUGUGAGUGAGUGUGUGUGUGUGUGUGUGUGUGUGUGUUUUAAAGCCUUUUGUUCACCAGCUUCUUUCCCUAUCUUACACUGUACUCCCUAAGGACUGUGUAUAUCAUUUAACUUUCUCCAUUGAACGAUAAACUUCAGAAGGUCUGGCCAUUUUGGUUCUACGGGGUUUCUAUCUCUUGCGCUUUCCCAGAUCAUACCAUGUAUUUAAUAUGCAUUGACCCACCUGUGCAGAAAAGGGACCGUCUAGUCUCAUGCUUAAAUCAGUACUAUGUCACUAUCCAUCGAUCAAUAAGUUGUGCAUUCUCGGUGACAACUGAAUGUUUUCUCUUUCAGCUGAAGUUUAAAGGAGGAGGGGAGUCGACUCCAAAACUGCACACUGGUGUAGCCCCAAACGGAAAUACAGCGAAAGCUCGAGCGACCUCUCCCAGCGCAAACGAGUCCACCCCAGCUUCAGGAAACGAAGGAGUAUGUGGGGUUGCGGAUGACUGGCUUUGGGGCUCAUUCUUUUCACUACAGCGCCCCAGGAGCGGAAGGCAAGCCCAGGCUCCAGGGACCACGCAGUCCCGCUGGGGCUGAGAGCGUCUCCCCCAGGGUGUCCCGGACGCCCGGCAGGAAAGAGCGCCGCCGGGCCGCCGACACCUGAGCGCGCGCCCGGUGGGGCGGGCCGGGAGCCCUCUCUCCCUUCCGCCUGCGACGCGCGUUGUCGGUCGAGCCGGUGUAUGUGCGGUAAUAACAUGUCUGCCCCGCUUCCCGCCAUCAUCCCCGCCGCCCGGAAGGCCACUGCUGCGGUGAGUGGCGGCAGCCGGGGCUCGGAGGGGACCCUCGGCCCGCUGCUCACCACUGCCCUUCGCGCAGGGUUGGCGUCGCUGACCGCCUGGCGGCCGGUGGGUGGGUUCCCUCCGCCGGGUCCGGGGUGGGCUGGGUGGGUGGGGUGGGGUGGGGUGGUCGGUGUCGGGAGGGCGCCGGGGCUGCGGCCGGGCCGGAGGAUCAGCGCGCCCGCCCCCGUCAGCCCCGAGCCCUCUGCAUUGCGGAGCGAGUCCCCAGCUUGUAGGGACCGGCGUUAGCGGCCAGGCACCCUAACUCGAGGUGGCUCCGUUGCUCGUUUCUCUCUUGUUUGUGGGUGAGGGAAGUCUGAAGUCCUCAAGAAAAUGACUUUAUUUUCUUACCUUGCACUCGUGUCCUGAAUUAAAGAAGUUUGAAGAUUGGCAACUUAUGACAUCACAGGGUGCUGUUUUUUAGAAAACCGUGUACGAGGAGCUCAAAUGUCUUUUUAACCCCGGAAGCUCCUUUUUGUGAUGGAAAAAGUCUACAGUUUACAUGAGACUUGCAUGGUUUGACUUGAAACAAACUAUUUUUCCUAGAAUGUUAUUUGCACUUAAGAAUGUCUAACUGGGACCUCUUUAAGUGCUAAGGCCGCACAUUAAUUAUCUUCGGAACUACAGUGAGAGAAAUUAAGUAUUUUUCCCACUGAAGAGAGCUCUAUGGAGUUUGAUUUGCUGAAGGUAGUGUUCUGAAAUUCUGGCAUCCAGAAUUGACCAACGCUAGUGUGUAUCAAUUCUGUGUGGGUUUAUUUGGGCAUUGUUUAUUAAUUUUUUCUCUUGUAGGUGAUUUUCCUUCAUGGAUUGGGAGAUACAGGAAUUUCCUCUCAUCAUCGUGAAUUCGUCAUUUUUCAACUCCUGUUUCUGGAACGUAUUAAAAUUGCAAACGCCUCCUUGAGUUGCUGUGGGCAUUGGAUACCAGAGAUGGGUGGAAUGUUUGUAGAGAGUGUGCAACUGAGAGCUUUCCGGAGGAGUUAAAAUUUCAGGGCAAGUUGAGGAGAACAACUGGUUGAUUUUGAUAAGAGCAAUAAUCGCAAUGUGAGGUAUACGGCAUUCUGAAUGAAAGCUUAAUUAUGCCCUUAAGAGAAAAAAUCAGUUCAAGGGUCGGGGAGGCAACUCAAAGAUUUAUUUGGCAGUUUAUCAAACACAUUUUGUUGUGCUAACUUGAGAUGUACAAUUUAUCUUUCAGUCAGGCUUUUCCUAUAUUGUGAAGUGUUUGUUUUUAAUUUAAAUUGUGAUUAUCUGUUUGAAACUUAGGUAAAACUGUAACAAAAUUGCAGAAUUAGAGGAAAACUGAAGAUAAACAAAUUUUGAGUAGGUGGUCAAAUAAACUAUUAAAUAAACUAUUAAAUCUUCUUUAUAAGGGUGUGUUGGGCUAGAUUAAUUCUUCAAAGUGAUUCCUGAUAUUCUUUUUAUGCCCUUUAAGUAGAGGUACAUGACAACACGGAAAAGAUUGUAGGACUCUUUCUGGCAAUGAGGUAGUCCUAUGAAAAUGAUAGACUUAUAUUUUACUAUUUUAUUUUCCUGAACAGGUUUAGAGAAGCUCUCUUUUAUAAUCAAACCCUUCUUGAUACUGAGAGCCGGGGAGGAACUUGCUACCCUGUCACUUGCCCAAUAAAGAGAGCUUCUAGGCCUGAAGAAUCAGUCCAAGAAAAAAAACUUCAGUGUAGAAAGCUUCUCUGUGGGCCCCCAUUUUGACAUAUUCUGUAGACUGAAGUUAAGAGUGAAAAUGAACAAUGUGAGAUUAAAAAUACCAAGAGCAUCCAGGACAUCUUGACCGAGAAUUAAGUUUACAUACAAAAUUAGCUGGCCAGCCCCAUGGCCGAUUGGUUAAGUUCACGUGCUCCGCUCCGGUGACUCAGGGUUCACCGGUUCCGAUCCUGGGCACAGACCUGCACGCUGCUCAUCAAGCCAUUCUGUGGCAGCAUCCCACGUGGAAGAACUAGAAUGACUUACAACAAUUCAGGCGUGAGGAGGGGAGAAGUCCUAAGGCUCUGACAUUCAUACCGUGUCCCUGGUUCCAUUCUAAGCUAGGAAAUGCUAACUCUUAUGAGGUUCAUGUAGAAGAGUGAGCUUCGGGUCUUUUCUCUCAAAAUUCUAUGACGAGACUAACCAAAGGCGGGAAUUCUAAUGAGGGAACUUGGCUGAACUUUAGGCUUUGAACACUGAAUCUAGAAGGGUCGCUGAGAGUGUAAGUACAUGAAGUGGAUUAAGUGACGGAGUGAUGGCCAUAGUGAAGAUUAACUGGGCUCCGAAAUAGGAGAGAAAUCACUGAACAUGAGGCUCAACUUAUGUCCUAUCUACGGAAAGCCCAUUAAGGGAAGAUCAAUUUUAGAAAAUGUUAAAGAACAACCAGGUUUAAAUUUAGUACCAAUACUGAAUACUCAUUGAUUUUAAAGAAAAAUAUAUAUGCAUAUGCUAUAAUGCUAGUACCCCAUUUUAAAUAGAAAAAUUACCAUACCUGACUCACCUUCUCUUCACUGAAAGAGAAAUUACUAAUCUUAAAAAUGAAACUGUCUAAUUGCCAUUAUAUUUACAUUUCUCUACAUUUUAUCGGUGCCAAAACAUUUAAAAUAUAUCCUUCUAGAAAAUAAAUAUACUACAGAAGAUAAAACUAGUUGAAAACACAACCAUGUAACGUUUUAAGGCACUGCAUUCCAUUAGACAGAACCCAAAGUGAACUGAGUACAAAGACACAAUGUGAAGUUUAUACGUGAGACUCUUCCCUUCUCUCCGAUUUUGGACUCCAGUGUUAAUCUACAUGAAGUCAGCUCCCUAGCUACACAAAACAUAACUUCUCAGGAUUUAUUUGAAUUGUUAUAAGCAGGUAAUUAAGUAAACUAAAAGAAGUCUAACUGAAAAUUCAAUGUGCAAGUAAGCCGAGAUACACUUGAUAAGGAUUCCAUAUGCUAAUGGCCUUGGUGCCACGCCAGCUCUUUCCUCUGAAGUUCUCAGAUUUCAUCAAUCUUUGUGGACUGGCAGCUCAGCAGCUCCCUCACCUUCACUGAGCCACAAACACGUCUGGGCCAUCUGUGUCCUGAAGACAGGGGAGGACAUAUCAGCAUUUCCCCUUCCCCAGGAAUUCAGUUGACAUUCUUUAGUAAAAUACACAAAAGAACAGAUUGCGCUUCAUCUAUAGGGCAAUUUCACAUUUCGCAAAGCUGUAUGGUGCACAAAUCUCAUCCAUACACAUCUGAGGUCGUCAAUUCAUCAUCUCAUUAUAGCAAGAAAGAACAAACAUUCAACAAAUAUAUAUUGAGUGCCUAGCAUACGAAAGGAAGGACACUGAUAUGAACCCAUUCUUUGCCCUCAUAUUCUAUUAGAAGCCAUGUGACAUAUACGCAAAGGAACUCACACAAGGCCAAAUAGGAUCACGUGUGUGAUACACACCAAGAUCUAUAGCAGUAUAAUGAGCAAGAGAUCCUACUCCCAAGUAGAAUAGCUGGCUAAAAUAGUAGAAAUGUUAUUUCAGCUAAACCUUGAAGAAACUAAAACCGUUUUUGUCUUCUGUUGAAGAAGCAGAUAGGAAGAGUUAAACAUCUCAAGUAGAAGGAAGGGAUUAGGCAAAGCCAAAAACACACACAGUGAGUGUGCAAGGCCGUGAGCAGUCCAGACAGCGACAGCACUGGCUGUCUACUGCACAGCAACUUAAAACAAAGGCAAAUGACCAGCCCGGACCAGACCACAGAAGGCUCUGACUUCAAAGCUGGGAUUUAUCCAGUAGCGUCAGUGGGGAGUCACCAAAACACAGCACCGCUUAAGGAAGGUUAAUUUUUCAGUACACAGGACAUAGUAUAGGUCGAGAAAGCCUCGAGACAGAAAAAGUACAUUCUAAUAGUUUAACUGAUAAAGCCCAGAACUAGAAUGAUGUCAGUAAGCGGGAGUGCAAGGUGAUUUAAUAAGUAUCUUAAAGUGAUCUAGAAAAGUAUCUUAUAGUGAUCUACAGAAGAUGAAACAGAAAUGAGGAAAUUUAUGCAAAUAUAAAUUAAAAGGAAAAAUCUUCAUCAGAAAGCUUAUUCGAACAAGUACCUUGUAACCAACGGAGACAGGGGAUGGGGUCUUUCUUAAGAAGAAUUCAAAAAUCACCCAAUUGGGACGGACAGUUUAAGGGCUCAUUCUUCUGGAGACAGAUUUCGUUUACUCAUUCAACAAACACUUAUUGCAAGCCUACUGUGUACCAGAAAGCAUCGUUAAUUCCCUCAAGAACAAAGCAAACAACAGAACAAGCAGGGGAUUCACUGUUGGCCCUUAAGAAAGGCAUCAUCUCUGUCCUCUCUGAAAGAACUGGGACUUGUUCCACUGGAGAAAGAAAAUGAGCCUCGAAUUUCUUCCCAUAGUCAGGUUUCAAGACUCACAAGACAUAGCAGGUGUUCAGACUACAAUAAUGAGAUAUGUUAUUCCCAAAUCUUAAAGCACAUGCUGCCUAUGCAAAUUCAACAACAUCCAACUCCACAAAGAUUUUCAAAUAUGCAAUUCCACUUAGACUAUCAACUCUUAUCCAAAUUCUCAACUAGCUGUUCCUUGACUAAAAAGUUACCUGUAACUUGAUCUUCAGUGUUACCCAUAAAAAAUUAUUAGCCCAGCAGGAAACUCCCAAAAGAAAGUCCCCGCUCUGACUGAAACAGUCUCUGCUGUGGUUUAAAAAGAAGAAAAAAAAAACACACUUGCAAGAAAGAAAUCGAAACACUCCAAUACUCUUUAAGAACAAGAACAAAACAAAUCAAUAGCAGCCCUCUGAUGACACCUGGUGGCCGCUUCUCACAGGAAGUUUCUUUCAGCAUUUUAAAGAAAUUAUUCCAGGAAACGUUAACAGUUCUCAACCACUUCACAUGCUAUCUUGACUAUGGGCAGCACACAUGAAGUCUCUCCCCUCAUUUCCCUCCUUUUUGUUCCAGUUUUCACUUAUUUUGUUCCAGUCUUCACUUCUCUUUUCAUCUCUUCUCUCUUUUCUAACCAGUAGACAUUAAGGCAGCUUGAGCUUGCUUUCUGUCUCUUUCUCACACCCUCUCUCACUCACUCACACACACACACACACACACACACUCACACUCACAGACAUCCUCUCUCACUGGUACAAGGCCACCCACACAGGAAACCACCUUCUCCCUGCCUCCGUCCCACGCCAUCUCACCCUUCACCCCUCCUAGACUUACCCAAAUUAGUGGUGCAAGCAGUGUGCAGUUAGCACGUGUUGGCACCAGGCCCAUGGUAAAGUCACAACAGGGGAUAGUGUGCAGCAUGGCUGGCGUGCACACACGUGCAUUUAUAAAAGCUCCCAAUGCUCUUUUGCCCUUUCCCUUUGAGGAGGUCAAAAAAGGACGAACUCCAGAAGUUGUGGAGAUCCUACAGCACAGUCUCCUCCUGGAAGGGCAAGCUCCUGAACACUCGGGUCCAGCCAAACCCACCUCCAUCAACGUGCCAGGGACAGGCUGCAUUGCAUUCCUAAGGGUAAGUCUGUUAACUCUACCUUCCCCCACUAGGAAAAUGCCUGUGGCGAUUCAGAAUGAGUCCACAAAUUCUCUGACACUCCCUUCAAAAGGUGGAGCCUAAUUCCCUCCCCUUGGUGUGGGCUGGCCUUGGUGACCAAGUGCUUGCAAGGGACAGAAAACAGUGGCAGUGAGGGUUUUCGGCUCUGGAGACACAGUCACAGAGGUGCCGGUAUCCUGCUUGCCCCCUCUCUUGAUCACUCCGCCCAAGGAAGUGGGGGACCUGUCGCAAGAACACUUCUGCAGCCUGUGCACAUGGAGGCCCAGGGGGCAAGGAACCGAAGCCUCCUACCAAGAGCCAAAGAGGAACUGGGGCCUCCUGCCAACAGCCAUGGGAGUGAGCUGCCUGGAGAGCAGCUCCUCCAGCCCCAGGCAAGCCUUCAGAUGAUUGCAGCCCCUACAAAAUCCUGACUGCAGCCACGACCAACUGGGUAAUGAGCCUACUCCACACCCUGACCCACAGAAACUGAGAGAAUAAUAAAUGCUUAUUUGCUUUAAGCCACUAAGUUCUGACAUAAUUUGUUACACAUCGAGUAGAUAACUAAUAUAAUGCCCUCUCUCUCCUUUGCACCUGAGCAAGAGUAGAUAGAGCUCAAGUUCACCCCUCGUUUGUAUAUAUUUUACAUAGAUUUCCUUUCCUAUACCCUCCAACCUUUAACAAGAAUGUUCUAUACUAUCACAAUAGUAUUAAGGUACACGGGAGGAGGUCCACGAAGUAUACUGGUUGAAGAGAAGAAUUCCCAUCAAACUUCUGAAAGAUUUCAAAACUUAAUAAACUGACAUUUACAUUUAUGCCUCUCCCACUACCAAAACCAGACUUGACACGGCUUACAAUGAAAAACUGGGAUACUAAAAUCAAGAAUUAUUAAAGAGCUAACUAACAAAGACAUGAGGUAGAGAGUUUCAAAUUUAGAUUUGUAUGGAAUAAAAGAAAUGUCUUCAUGUUUCCUGAAAAACCUCAUUUUGGAUGAAGGCAUUCAUUCUUAUUGGCCCCUAGAAUCAUUUAUAGCAAACAACUUGCCUCAAAGAUAACAGUAGCCAUGAGUUCCUGUCCAGCUAAGCUCAGAAAUGUUAGCAACCUCUAUUUCUACUCUUCCCCAAACCUGAUGGGGCAGCCCAUGCAGUAAACACCUAUACAGCCACAUGCCACUGGGGCUGAAUGAGUCACAAUCCUUUUGGCCACACAGAAUACAAAACUUCCUCACCCUCACCUAGCAGGAGGCAUUCAAACUUCGGAGAUGUAGGGGCUCUGGUCACAGGACUCACAUCUGAUUAAGUUCCACCUCCAAAGCAUCUCACAUGCCAUGUCUAGCCUACUUCUAAAAAUAACCUUCCCCAGCCAGAGUCCAAGGACAAACCCAAGACAAGCUAGAACUAUGUGCUCUUAAGCCCAAAUGGUCAGAGUAAAUAAAACUAUCGACAGAGAGAAAAAAAUUCGCACUCAAGUCAGAAGAGAAUACUGUUCCUAUUCCAGGGGAUACCCAUGUUCUGUUUCAAAUACCUAAUUUGAUUCUGCCUGCAAGUUAAAAAUUAGAAUAUUUGCUUAGUGCUUAAGUUAGAGCUAAAACAAUCAUUAAAAAGCCAUACUAAUAGGGAUCAAGCCAUGGUGACUGUAACAGAAUAAACAGACCUCACCCCUUUCAUUAUCAAAGAGUCUCCCCUUCCCAACACUACUCGUGAGGAUGUAGUAACAGCAACAUAACGUGACAAGUCAUGGGACAAAAAUAAACUGUAACAUUAGCCCAGUUUUCUUACUUGGCUGUUUCUUUUAUUAAAAUGUUCCUACACUUCAAGUACUAUUUUCCAAAUACAUUAAAUUGAUCCAGUAAUAAAGUCAAUUUUAUGGCGAUCUUAACCACCUCUGACAAAGCUAUCUUGUGUAGUAGGAAAGAUUUUACACAAAAAGUUAAAAUCCAAUAUAUCUCCUUUCAAAAUGUAUUUUUAAAAUUAAUGCUUUG